RNA transcript from Populus euphratica (Euphrates poplar), 2202 nucleotides. It is a transcript of the gene named cactin-like, with no coding region annotated. Lineage: Eukaryota; Viridiplantae; Streptophyta; Magnoliopsida; Malpighiales; Salicaceae. The transcript has 3 exons. The record is from RefSeq and is a predicted model, not a curated record.
GAUAACCUUGGUGGAGUACCAAAAACACCAUCCGUGUCGACUCCUCUUCUCUUUCUCUCCGCGUUUGCCUGCCUGACUCAGCUGUCACCUCCCCGUUGCCCUUCAACCCAUGAUCACGGCGGCUAUUUGCCUCCCCCAGUUAACUUUCACCGGUGAUGCUGCAGUUUCACGGUGGCGGGUUUGUGAAAGGCAGCAAUGAAUCGGUAGGGAACGACGCGUUUUGCAGGAUAAUCACGAAACAGUGAUGAUAUUAUUUUCGUGGUUGUUGGGUAUAGAUUGGCACCAGAGACCAGGAAUCGGAGGGCUUUUGAAGAUGGGUUCAAGGUUUUGAAUUGGUUAGCAAAACAGUCUAAUUUGGCUGCUUGUGGAAUAUUAGAUGCUCACAGCCACAUUUUCUAUAGCUUCGAUGCUUCCAUGGUCGAGCCUUGGUUGGCUGCUCAUGGAGAUCCUUCCAGGUUUCUUUUAGAUGAUUUAUUUACCCUAAAGCAAAAGCAGAGGAGGCAGGGGCGGAGGCAGAGGAGGGCAGAGAGAAUUGUUUGCUGAUAAAGAAUUAAACAUGGACGUGAACAGGAAGGUAAGUGAAGAAGAAAUAGAAGAGUAUUUGGUGAAGAAGGCGAUCAAAAAAGCAAAAAGUUGACGUCGAGAUCAUCAUCACCAUUCUCGUCCUUUUAUUCUAAUCAGUCCAAUCCCUUCGGUGAUUCCAAUCUCGAUGAGAAAUUUGUGUGGCGCAAAAAGAUUGAGCGUGAUAUUGCGCAAGGGCUGCUUUCUUUUCUCUUAAAACCGAAAGAAGGAGACAGAGAGAGAGAAUGGAAGAGAUUGGAAAGGUUAAGAAAAGAAGAGAGCAAACGGCACUUGAGAAACGACAGCACGAGGAAGAAAGGGAGUUGUUAGCUAGAAAACGUGCCCGUGCUGAGUUUCAGGACUGGCAGAAGAAAGAGGAUUGUGCUAUUCCACAAUUUGUUGCUAAUGAUGAUGAACGAAAAAAUCAGAUUCAAGAACCUGCGGAACCAGAACCGCCUACAUUAUUGGAGAAGUUCAAUCUGAAUAAAGCUACGGGAGCUAUGAAGGAAGGUGAUGGAGUAAUUGGCUCUGUCGCUGAAGUGAACCUGGAUUCACAGGUAGAAUGGUUGUGUGACAAGUACCAACCGAGAAAGCCUAAGUAUGUCAAUGCUUUUCACACUGGAUAUGAAUGGAACAAAUAUAACAGGACUCACUACGAUCAUGAAAAUCCACCUCCAAAGAUUGUGCGAGGAUACAAGUUCAAUAUCUUCUACCCAGACAUGAUAAACAGGACAGAGACUCCAACUUAUACAUGCGAGGAUGAUGGGAGCAAUGGCGAGACUUGCAUUAUAAGAUUUCAUGCAGGGUCACCUUAUGAGGACAUUGCAUUCCGAAUUGUGAAGAAAGAUUGGGAUGUGAGCCAUAAAAAAAGGAUUCAAGAGCACGUUUGAUGGGAUAAUUUUGCGGCUUCAUUUCAACUUCAGAUGUCACUCCUAUCGCAGAGCUGAUUCUAAAAAUGGAGGAAAGACAAUAAAACCCUAUGAUACCAAUCUCUUCUUGGUCAGAUGGCAGAAAAUUUACGAGUUCAAUCAAACCCAACAUCCAUCUUUAAGAAAGGAGAGGGGAGGAGAAAAAAAAAGCAAGAAGAAACAACCAAGAAGGUACACUUGAUCCCUUACUCGAUCUCUUUGCAUGUUCCUUCAAGAAUCACCAUGUUUGUGCCAACAAACAAGCAUGGCAACACAGCGCCUCAUGAUAUAAAACCUUGCCUUCUGUUCCUUGGCUAAGCUACUACAUUUAUGUGAAAUAGAAGAGUUUUUUUGAGAGAAACUCCUUGGAAGAGGGCACUUUGGAGAAGAGCUCUUGAGGGACGAGGUCCUCAAGAGAGGAGCCUUGGAUGAUGAACUCUUAGUCGAGAAACUUCUUGUGAAAGAAGAUGAACCUUCUUUCUUUGAUAACUUCCACUUCUCAUCCAUCUACGAACCUUAGAAGCUACAAGUGACUAGCUCGUAACAGCAAGUGAUAUGAUUCUUCUCUGUAUGUACUAUAUACGUGUGAGAGGGCGAAAGCGUUGGUGUGUGAGAGAGAGAGAGAGAGAUAAGAUCAAGGAUGGGACUCGCUCAGUGAGUGGGCUUUUUAUUAAAUAUUGUAAUGGCGAUUCGGGUUUCUAGAUGUGAACCAGUAUUUCAUUUGGUGCUGAAA